Astatotilapia calliptera (eastern happy) is the source of this 2784-nucleotide long non-coding RNA. The record is from Ensembl. Lineage: Eukaryota; Metazoa; Chordata; Actinopteri; Cichliformes; Cichlidae.
AGGGCCCAUCUGCGUAAAGGUUGCACUCUCACACGAACAGUGGUUGAGGGAGCUGGGCAGCGCAAACAGGUCAUUCAAGAGAAAGUGGACCACCCCAGAAAAGGAUCAAAAACCCGUGAUCUCCAACAGCAUCUCCACCAGCUCUUUCACCGCUACUACGAAGAAGAAAAGAACAAUGAGGAGGAGGAAGGAAGAGUAAAUGAUUGAGUAACACUCUGCCCAACUCCCUCGUUGUGCCCAUGCUAAAAUCCCUGCUAGUCCUAUGCAUUAGUCACAUGCAAUCCUAGUGUGCACAAACACACCUCAAAGCUACCACAGUCUUCCCCUUUAGGACCUGGAAGAUGAUCUUUAGUUCUUGAUUUGGAGUUUUUUCCCUGUGUGGUUUCAAAGUACUUCUGAGUUUCUUUAUUUUAUUUUUUUUAUCUUUUUGCCUUUUGUGACCAAAGAAAGCCUUUUGUUGAUCUCCUGAUUGUUUUACUUUCUGAUUCAAGUUGUCUGAUAGGUUUGUCUUAUCCUGUGGUAGAGCAACAGAACACUCAAAGAAAACAGAGCGACACUAUCCCCAUCAAAUAACUCACAAACCUCCGAAGUACAUUUUACUUAAAAACACUGGUACUGCUCUUGGAGUAGGUGCUUGGACUGAAAGACGAUAUUUCACAUUGCACUGCCUCUCACAACUUUCACAGAUAAUCCUUUAUGAAAAAAAACAACUUCUCACUCACUGUACUAGCCUCUGCUUUUUUGAUUCAGAUGGUCAAGAUAUCACAAACAGAAAAUCAGACUGUACUGACACUGAAUUUAACUGCUGCUGUUGUGUUUCGUGUUGACUAUGUGUACUCUGUCUUUGGGAAUUAUAUAUUCUAUUUAAUCUCAACAUUACUGACAUCUGUAGCCUAGGAAUGAAUAAUCACUCAUGUGAACUUAACAGGCAUGACUAAUCAACAUCUGUCAGUUUGAUCCUAGCUUUGACUGCUUUGUCGUUGUGUGGAUUGCCCUUCUGCUUUUCUUUACCUUGUGUGUGUGUGUGUGUCUUUCAUUCUUUAUUAUUAUGUUUCAACUAAUCAUUGUUGACCUCCACUUUUAAAGUAUGGAUGUGAUGAGUGCAGGUGUAACUGUACGUGCUUUAGGUUUGAUUUUGUCUGUGCAUUUGAUGAGUUAAAUACCACACUGAACGCUGGUCAAAAGUUUCUGUAGGUGAUUUUAACUUGUUUGCUGAUGUUUGUUUGUUUUUUCAUUUUCGUGUAGAGAAGUUAUUUAAUUUAAUAAUUCAGCCCCUCAGGAUUUGGCACUGGGAAAUGAAAUAAUCCCAGUUUUCUAAUAUUACAUUUGCGGUAAGAUGAUGAUACACUCAGUGUUUUAUUUAUGUAAAGAUUUGUUAGUUUAUCUUUUGAAUCCGAUUGUUGAAGUAGAUAAAGGCGGUUUUGUGUUAUGUGUGUGAGUGAAUGAUUCGGCGUAUGUAGUUAAAGGAUGUGUAGCAGUUUCUGUCAGCAAAGAAAAGAAAUGUUUAUUUUACACAAUUAGCAUUUGCACUCCUGAAUUUCAGAAGAGGAAACCUCCAUGCUUUCUGUGCACUGCAAUACAAGGUACAGAAUAUAUCAGCCACAGGGAUAUACUCAUUGUGGAGGGAUUGCUGUAACAAAGCAGGUUGAGAGCUUAAAUAUAUGAUUAUCCACAGCUCGGAGCAUCGCUACUGUUUGUAUUUACAACAUGCAAUGUAUUUACUCUCACUCUCACUGUUUAUUUUGUGAUUUAGAGAAAAAAAUGCAAAUUAGUGGAGAUUCACUGUGACAGAUAUGCUUUUAAUUUGAAGACUCAGCAUCCCUUCUCUGUGAUGAUGACCCGUUAUAUACAUAUACAAUGCAUAUAUAAAUAAAUAUCUAUAAAGGCAUGUAUUACUGUAUCAAAAGUCAAGAAUGCAGAAAAGAAAAUGGCUGCAGUGUAUCUAUAGCUGAGAAUAAAAAUCUACAAAUGUGCAGUGUUGUAUCUGAUUACAUCUUUUAACUGUAAAAUGGGCCAUUUUGACAUGCCAAAAUAGUAGCUUGGGUGUAUUGUUGAUGGUUGUGUCUCAGGGGAGGUCUUGCAUAACCAAGUUCAGAGCUUACUGGAACUGAGAAUUAUUAAUUCCAUCUGUGCUUUUCUAGAAACUACUUUACUCUGCUUCUUUAUUUGCAAGAGGGCGCCUUGUCUGCAUAUUUGACCAUGAAUAUCAUGCUGGAUUUUCUUCCUGACUUAACUCCAAAAGGAUUUAUGUCUCAGAACUGAACUGGGGAGCUUUUGUUUGUUGGGAAAAUGUCUAAUACACUACACUUUUUCUACUGUGACAAAGGAAAAAUUAUCUUAAAAAUUGUCUUUUUUAAUUCCUGCUACAUCCAGUCCCAUCAGUUUUAUAAUAAAGAUAUGUUAGGCACAUGUACUUAGUAGAGUUUGUACUGCCUCCUGCUGGGCAUCAGGGGUAACCCAGAAGAAACAGAUUUCCAUUUAAACUCAAGAUAAAUGGGUUGCAUGAAUUUUACCUCACACUACACAUUUUCAAAGACACAGUUCCAGUCUUUAAAAAGUAUUACAAAUGAUCCAUAAAUCUGCACCCAUGUGUACUAAGAGUCAAAUCAGCUACUUGGGAAGAAAUGGUUUAUAAACAGGACAGCUUUCAUCACAGUGGGUUAAGAAAUUGAUUUGCCUAAUUGACACAUGUUCAGGUCUGUGUGAAAUGCACUCUUCUGGAGAUGUGAUCUAAAGAUCCUUUCCUUGGUUUAGCACCCUGCAGUUGUCCUUGUGCAAUAGCCC